UACCGCGGUUAUACGAGAAGCCCCAGUUGACAACACUCGGCGUAAAGCGUGGUUAACAAACAUAGCACUGAAGUUAAAUGCAACCCAAACAGUUAUACGUAAAUGGUAGCAAGAGGCCCACCCACGAAAGUGACUUUAAAACUGUGACUCCACGAAGACUAGGGAA
RNAcentral lists this ribosomal RNA (166 nucleotides) under Kraemeria cunicularia (transparent sand dart). RNAcentral's name for it is "partial 12S rRNA". The record is from RNAcentral. Lineage: Eukaryota; Metazoa; Chordata; Actinopteri; Gobiiformes; Kraemeriidae.